UGACUAGUGAGUGCAUGUUGGCGUCCUGCCUGUGAUGGGUGGGGUUGAGGGCAUGCUGUUGGGUUGUGGGGUAUCACAUGUGUGGUGGCCUGUGCGGUGCUGUGUUGCGUGCGUGUGUGCGUGGUGUGGUGUUCGUGUGGUGGUUGAGAACUGUAUAGUGGAUGCAAGUAUCUUUAUUGUUGUAUGUGUUUGUGCGACGUGGUGUUGUGCAAAGUUGUGUAGUGCGAUCGGUGGAUGCCUUGGCACCAAGAGCCGAUACAUGACAUUUUGACAGACUUAAUACCUUCGCCGACAACGAGGUUCCAGGUGAGGGCACCUUCUUGACCUCGCCGACGUGACCCUGGCGGGCCUCACCAUGUGCCGCGGCGGGCAGACCCGCUUUGCCGCCCCCCACCCCAGCGCGUGGGCAGGCCGCCUUUCAAUCUGAAAAGCCUCCUUCAACCCGGUUGCCCACACAAAAUCAUCCCGAAGGACCGCAGGGAGCCCCGCAAAGAUG
RNAcentral lists this unclassified non-coding RNA (496 nucleotides) under Cutibacterium acnes. Its description in RNAcentral is "contains 16S-23S intergenic spacer region". Lineage: Bacteria; Bacillati; Actinomycetota; Actinomycetes; Propionibacteriales; Propionibacteriaceae. The record is from RNAcentral.